GGGCCCGCACAAGCGGUGGAGUAUGUGGUUUAAUUCGAUGCAACGCGAAGAACCUUACCUGGUCUUGACAUGCCCGUCAUAGUUUUUCCGAAAGGAAUUCGUCAGUUCGGCUGGACGGUGCACAGGUGCUGCAUGGCUGUCGUCAGCUCGUGUCGUGAGAUGUUCGGUUAAGUCCGGCAACGAGCGCAACCCUCGUUUCCAGUUGCCAGCGGGUAAUGCCGGGGACUCUGGAAAGACAAACCUCUUGUUGAGGUGGGAAGGUGGGGACGACGUCAAGUCAGUAUGGCCCUUACGACCAGGGCUGCACACGUGCUACAAUGCCCGGCACAAUGGGAUGCAAUAUCGCGAGAUU
This 352-nucleotide ribosomal RNA is filed under the name uncultured bacterium. RNAcentral describes it as "bacterial SSU rRNA". It matches the Rfam family "Bacterial small subunit ribosomal RNA", at positions 917 to 1264 of the family's 1533-position model. The record is from RNAcentral.